UACAGAGGUCUCAAGCGUUGUUCGGAUUCAUUGGGCGUAAAGGGUGCGUAGGUGGCGCGCUAAGUCAGGUGUGAAAUUUCGGAGCUUAACUCCGAAACUGCAUUUGAUACUGGCGUGCUUGAGGACUGGAGAGGAGACUGGAAUUCACGGUGUAGCAGUGAAAUGCGUAGAUAUCGUGAGGAAGACCAGUGGCGAAGGCGGGUCGUCUGGACAGUUCCUGACACUGAGGCACGAAGGCCAGGGGAGCAAACCGGG
This 255-nucleotide ribosomal RNA is filed under the name uncultured bacterium. RNAcentral's name for it is "partial 16S ribosomal RNA". It matches the Rfam family "Bacterial small subunit ribosomal RNA", at positions 524 to 777 of the family's 1533-position model. The record is from RNAcentral.